This 550-nucleotide ribosomal RNA is filed under the name uncultured bacterium. Its description in RNAcentral is "bacterial SSU rRNA". It matches the Rfam family "Bacterial small subunit ribosomal RNA", at positions 355 to 896 of the family's 1533-position model. The record is from RNAcentral.
UAGGGAAUCUUCGGCAAUGGGGGGAACCCUGACCGAGCAACGCCGCGUGAGUGAAGAAGGUUUUCGGAUCGUAAAGCUCUGUUGUAAGAGAAGAACGAGUGUGAGAGUGGAAAGUUCACACUGUGACGGUAUCUUACCAGAAAGGGACGGCUAACUACGUGCCAGCAGCCGCGGUAAUACGUAGGUCCCGAGCGUUGUCCGGAUUUAUUGGGCGUAAAGCGAGCGCAGGCGGUUAGAUAAGUCUGAAGUUAAAGGCUGUGGCUUAACCAUAGUACGCUUUGGAAACUGUUUAACUUGAGUGCAAGAGGGGAGAGUGGAAUUCCAUGUGUAGCGGUGAAAUGCGUAGAUAUAUGGAGGAACACCGGUGGCGAAAGCGGCUCUCUGGCUUGUAACUGACGCUGAGGCUCGAAAGCGUGGGGAGCAAACAGGAUUAGAUACCCUGGUAGUCCACGCCGUAAACGAUGAGUGCUAGGUGUUAGACCCUUUCCGGGGUUUAGUGCCGCAGCUAACGCAUUAAGCACUCCGCCUGGGGAGUACGACCGCAAGGUUG